RNAcentral lists this ribosomal RNA (465 nucleotides) under uncultured Klebsiella sp. RNAcentral's name for it is "bacterial SSU rRNA". It matches the Rfam family "Bacterial small subunit ribosomal RNA", at positions 338 to 795 of the family's 1533-position model. Lineage: Bacteria; Pseudomonadati; Pseudomonadota; Gammaproteobacteria; Enterobacterales; Enterobacteriaceae. The record is from RNAcentral.
CCUACGGGUGGCUGCAGUGGGGAAUAUUGCACAAUGGGCGCAAGCCUGAUGCAGCCAUGCCGCGUGUGUGAAGAAGGCCUUCGGGUUGUAAAGCACUUUCAGCGGGGAGGAAGGCGUUAAGGUUAAUAACCUUGGCGAUUGACGUUACCCGCAGAAGAAGCACCGGCUAACUCCGUGCCAGCAGCCGCGGUAAUACGGAGGGUGCAAGCGUUAAUCGGAAUUACUGGGCGUAAAGCGCACGCAGGCGGUCUGUCAAGUCGGAUGUGAAAUCCCCGGGCUCAACCUGGGAACUGCAUUCGAAACUGGCAGGCUAGAGUCUUGUAGAGGGGGGUAGAAUUCCAGGUGUAGCGGUGGAAUGCGUAGAGAUCUGGAGGAAUACCGGUGGCGAAGGCGGCCCCCUGGACAAAGACUGACGCUCAGGUGCGAAAGCGUGGGGAGCAAACAGGAUUAGAUACCCCUGUAGUC